This 572-nucleotide ribosomal RNA is filed under the name Nitzschia palea var. debilis. RNAcentral describes it as "partial large subunit ribosomal RNA". It matches the Rfam family "Eukaryotic large subunit ribosomal RNA", at positions 30 to 674 of the family's 3401-position model. Lineage: Eukaryota; Bacillariophyta; Bacillariophyceae; Bacillariales; Bacillariaceae. The record is from RNAcentral.
GAAUUUAAGCAUAUAAUUAAGCGGAGGAAAAGAAACUAACCAGGAUUCCCUCAGUAAGGGCGACUGAAGCGGGAAGAGCUCAGGAUGUGAAUCUGCGCCUUGUGCGCCGAAUUGUGGUCUGUCGACGGUGGCAUUACUAGCCGGGCCAAGUCCUUUGGAACAAGGCAGCUGAGAGGGUGAGACUCCCGUCCGCCUGGCCAGGUGAGCCACUAGUCAACGAGUCGAGUUGUUUGGGAUUGCAGCUCCAAGUGGGUGGUAAAUUCCAUCUAAAGCUAAAUAUUGGUGGGAGACCGAUAGCGUACAAGUACCGUGAGGGAAAGAUGCAAAGAACUUUGAAAAGAGAGUUAAAGAGUACCUGAAAUUGCUGAAAGGGAAGCGAAGGAAACCAGUGUCGGCUCAGUCAUAUUUCCCUGUCCGCUUGCGGUUUGGGCGCUGUGUCUGGCCUGUGUCGUCCUUGGUUGGGUCUGCUGGAAGAGCGCAGUGAGAGUUGAUCUCUGUUGCUAGCAGCGGGUCUGACUGAGGAGGACGAAAUGGUUUUCUUUACCCCGUCUUGAAACACGGGACCAAGGACG